Molecule: ribosomal RNA, 468 nt
Filed under: uncultured bacterium
Lineage: Bacteria
Description: partial 16S ribosomal RNA
Rfam family: Bacterial small subunit ribosomal RNA
Source: RNAcentral
GACGAACGCUGGCGGCGUGCUUAACACAUGCAAGUCGAACGGAAAGGCCCUGCUUUUGUGGGGUGCUCGAGUGGCGAACGGGUGAGUAACACGUGAGUAACCUGCCCUUGACUUUGGGAUAACUUCAGGAAACUGGGGCUAAUAACGGCUAGGAGCUCCUGCUGCAUGGUGGGGGUUGGAAAGUUUCGGCGGUUGGGGAUGGACUCGCGGCUUAUCAGCUUGUUGGUGGGGUAGUGGCUUACCAAGGCUUGGACGGGUAGCCGGCCUGAGAGGGUGACCGGCCACAUUGGGACUGAGAUACGGCCCAGACUCCUACGGGAGGCAGCAGUGGGGAAUAUUGCACAAUGGGCGGAAGCCUGAUGCAGCAACGCCGCGUGCGGGAUGACGGCCUUCGGGUUGUAAACCGCUUUCGCCUGUGACGAAGCGUGAGUGACGGUAAUGGGUAAAGAAGCACCGGCUAACUACGUG